GGCUAUGUUUGAGAAAGCGGCCCGGCACGAAGGCUUAAUAGGGAUACGGCAAAACCGUGGCUGUCCCCGCAAUUGUACGCAGGGAGUCCGCGCUCCACUGCCACUGGUUUCGACCGGGAAGGCCCGCGCGAAUCAUCACCUGCCAGCCAAGAGACCUGCCGACUCCAUCGCCUUCGC
RNAcentral lists this non-coding RNA (177 nucleotides) under unidentified. The record is from RNAcentral.